RNAcentral lists this ribosomal RNA (487 nucleotides) under uncultured bacterium. RNAcentral's name for it is "bacterial SSU rRNA". It matches the Rfam family "Bacterial small subunit ribosomal RNA", at positions 30 to 507 of the family's 1533-position model. The record is from RNAcentral.
UUGAACGCUGGCGGCAUGCCUAACACAUGCAAGUCGAACGGCAGCACAGCAGUAGCAAUACGUGUGGGUGGCGAGUGGCGGACGGGUGAGGAAUACGUCGGAAUCUGCCCAGUCGUGGGGGAUAACUAGCCGAAAGGUUAGCUAAUACCGCAUACGACCGAGAGGUGAAAGCGGGGACCGCAAGGCCUCGCGCGAUUGGAUGAGCCGACGUCGGAUUAGCUAGUUGGCGGGGUAAAGGCCACCAAGGCGACGAUCCGUAGCUGGUCUGAGAGGAUGAUCAGCCACACUGGAACUGAGACACGGUCCAGACUCCUACGGAGGCAGCAGUGGGGAAUAUUGGACAAUGGGCGCAAGCCUGAUCCAGCAAUGCCGCGUGUGUGAAGAAGGCCUUCGGGUUGUAAAGCACUUUUAUCAAGAACGAAAAGCGUUGGAUUAAUACUCUGACGUGCUGACGGUACCUGAGGAAUAAGCACCGGCUAACUUCGUG